UACGGGGGGAGCAAGCGUUGUUCGGAUUUACUGGGCGUAAAGGGCGCGUAGGCGGCCAUCUAAGUCAGACGUGAAAUCCCCCGGCUUAACCUGGGAACUGCGUCUGAUACUGGACGGCUUGAGUAUGGGAGAGGGAUGUAGAAUUCCAGGUGUAGCGGUGAAAUGCGUAGAUAUCUGGAGGAAUACCGGUGGCGAAGGCGGCAUCCUGGACCAUUACUGACGCUGAGGCGCGAAAGCUAGGGGAGCAAACGGG
Molecule: ribosomal RNA, 253 nt
Filed under: uncultured bacterium
Lineage: Bacteria
Description: partial 16S ribosomal RNA
Rfam family: Bacterial small subunit ribosomal RNA
Source: RNAcentral